Molecule: ribosomal RNA, 460 nt
Filed under: uncultured bacterium
Lineage: Bacteria
Description: partial 16S ribosomal RNA
Rfam family: Bacterial small subunit ribosomal RNA
Source: RNAcentral
CCUACGGGAGGCAGCAGUGAGGAAUAUUGGUCAAUGGACGAGAGUCUGAACCAGCCAAGUAGCGUGAAGGAUGACUGCCCUAUGGGUUGUAAACUUCGUUUAUAUGGGAAUAAAAUGUUCCACGUGUGGGAUUUUGUAUGUACCAUAUGAAUAAGGAUCGGCUAACUCCGUGCCAGCAGCAGCGGUAAUACGGAGGAUCCGAGCGUUAUCCGGAUUUAUUGGGUUUAAAGGGAGCGUAGGUGGAUUGUUAAGUCAGUUGUGAAAGUUUGCGGCUCAACCGUAAAAUUGCAGUUGAAACUGGCAGUCUUGAGUACAGUAGAGGUGGGCGGAAUUCGUGGUGUAGCGGUGAAAUGCUUAGAUAUCACGAAGAACUCCGAUUGCGAAGGCAGUUCACUGGACUGCAACUGACACUGAGGCUCGAAAGUGUGGGUAUCAAACAGGAUUAGAUACCCUAGUAGUC